GGUAGAGCUUUAGGCUCUUAACCUAAUGGUCGAGGGUUCGAGCCCCUCA
RNAcentral lists this transfer RNA (49 nucleotides) under Aplanochytrium sp. PBS07. RNAcentral describes it as "partial tRNA". It matches the Rfam family "tRNA", at positions 17 to 63 of the family's 71-position model. Rfam says of the family: Transfer RNA (tRNA) molecules are approximately 80 nucleotides in length. Their secondary structure includes four short double-helical elements and three loops (D, anti-codon, and T loops). The record is from RNAcentral. Lineage: Eukaryota; Bigyra; Thraustochytrida; Thraustochytriidae.